UACGUAGGGUGCGAGCGUUAAUCGGAAUUACUGGGCGUAAAGCGUGCGCAGGCGGUUUUGUAAGCCAGAUGUGAAAUCCCCGGGCUUAACCUGGGAAUGGCAUUUGGGACUGCAAGGCUGGAGUUUGGCAGAGGAGACUGGAAUUCCUGGUGUAGCAGUGAAAUGCGUAGAUAUCAGGAGGAAUACCGAUGGCGAAGGCAGGUCUCUGGGCUAUAACUGACGCUCAUGCACGAAAGCGUGGGGAGCGAACAGG
RNAcentral lists this ribosomal RNA (253 nucleotides) under uncultured bacterium. RNAcentral's name for it is "partial 16S ribosomal RNA". It matches the Rfam family "Bacterial small subunit ribosomal RNA", at positions 524 to 776 of the family's 1533-position model. The record is from RNAcentral.